RNAcentral lists this ribosomal RNA (627 nucleotides) under uncultured bacterium. RNAcentral's name for it is "bacterial SSU rRNA". It matches the Rfam family "Bacterial small subunit ribosomal RNA", at positions 1 to 656 of the family's 1533-position model. The record is from RNAcentral.
ACGGAAGUCGUUAUGAUGAUUUCAACACUGACAGAGAACUUGUUCAAAGAAAGUAGAGAUUGACUUAUAACAAUGGCUUUAGUGGCGGACUGGUGAGUAACACGUGAGCAACCUGCCUAUCAGAGGGGAAUAACAGUGAGAAAUCAUUGCUAAUACCGCAUAUGCCAUAAAUAUCACAUGAUGAAAGUGGGAAAGGAGUAAUCCGCUGAUAGAUGGGCUCGCGUCUGAUUAGAUAGUUGGUGGGGUAACGGCCUACCAAGUCGACGAUCAGUAGCCGGACUGAGAGGUUGAACGGCCACAUUGGGACUGAGAUACGGCCCAGACUCCUACGGGAGGCAGCAGUCGGGAAUAUUGCGCAAUGGAGGAAACUCUGACGCAGUGACGCCGCGUAUAGGAAGAAGGUUUUCGGAUUGUAAACUAUUGUCGUUAGGGAAGAUACAAGACAGUACCUAAGGAGGAAGCUCCGGCUAACUACGUGCCAGCAGCCGCGGUAAUACGUAGGGAGCAAGCGUUAUCCGGAUUUAUUGGGUGUAAAGGGUGCGUAGACGGGAAAGCAAGUUAGUUGUGAAAUCCCUCGGCUUAACUGAGGAACUGCAACUAAAACUACUUUUCUUGAGUGUUGGAGAG